This 58-nucleotide transfer RNA is filed under the name Cavia porcellus (domestic guinea pig). It matches the Rfam family "tRNA", at positions 8 to 63 of the family's 71-position model. Rfam says of the family: Transfer RNA (tRNA) molecules are approximately 80 nucleotides in length. Their secondary structure includes four short double-helical elements and three loops (D, anti-codon, and T loops). Lineage: Eukaryota; Metazoa; Chordata; Mammalia; Rodentia; Caviidae. The record is from Rfam by way of RNAcentral.
UAGCUCAGCGGCAAAAGCACCUGCCUUGCAAGCAGGCGGUCCUGAGUUCGAUCCUUGG